Molecule: small RNA, 148 nt
Filed under: Cercocebus atys (sooty mangabey)
Lineage: Eukaryota; Metazoa; Chordata; Mammalia; Primates; Cercopithecidae
Also listed under: 2 other names
Description: Metazoan signal recognition particle RNA
Source: Rfam by way of RNAcentral
GCCAGGUGUGAUGGCACAUGCCUGUAAUCCCAGCUACUCAGGAGGCUGAGACAGGAGAAUCACUUGAACCCAGGAGGCAGAGGUUGCAGUGAGCUGAGAUCGUGCCACUGCACUCUAGCCUGGGCAACAGAGUGAGACUCUGUCUCAA